This 72-nucleotide transfer RNA is filed under the name Ignavibacteria bacterium. RNAcentral's name for it is "tRNA-Glu". It matches the Rfam family "tRNA". Rfam says of the family: Transfer RNA (tRNA) molecules are approximately 80 nucleotides in length. Their secondary structure includes four short double-helical elements and three loops (D, anti-codon, and T loops). The record is from RNAcentral. Lineage: Bacteria; Pseudomonadati; Ignavibacteriota; Ignavibacteria.
GGCGCAUUCGUCUAGCGGUAAGGACGCCGGCCUCUCACGCCGGUAACACGGGUUCGAUUCCCGUAUGCGCUA